UCCACGGUUUCCGCGCCGCAGCUAACGCAUUAAGUGCCCCGCCUGGGGAGUACGGCCGCAAGGCUAAAACUCAAAGGAAUUGACGGGGGCCCGCACAAGCGGCGGAGCAUGCGGAUUAAUUCGAUGCAACGCGAAGAACCUUACCAAGGCUUGACAUGUUCUCGAUCGCCGUAGAGAUACGGUUUCCCCUUUGGGGCGGGUUCACAGGUGGUGCAUGGUUGUCGUCAGCUCGUGUCGUGAGAUGUUGGGUUAAGUCCCGCAACGAGCGCAACCCUCGUUCCAUGUUGCCAGCACGUAAUGGUGGGGACUCAUGGGAGACUGCCGGGGUCAACUCGGAGGAAGGUGAGGACGACGUCAAAUCAUCAUGCCCCUUAUGUCUUGGGCUUCACGCAUGCUACAAUGGCCGGUACAAUGGGUUGCGAUACUGUGAGGUGGAGCUAAUCCCAAAAAGCCGGUCUCAGUUCGGAUUGGGGUCUGCAACUCGACCCCAUGAAGUCGGAGUCGCUAGUAAUCGCAGAUCAGCAACGCUGCGGUGAAUACGUUCCCGGGCCUUGUACACACCGCCCGUCAAGUCACGA
Molecule: ribosomal RNA, 578 nt
Filed under: Micrococcus sp.
Lineage: Bacteria; Bacillati; Actinomycetota; Actinomycetes; Micrococcales; Micrococcaceae
Description: bacterial SSU rRNA
Rfam family: Bacterial small subunit ribosomal RNA
Source: RNAcentral